RNAcentral lists this ribosomal RNA (460 nucleotides) under uncultured bacterium. Its description in RNAcentral is "partial 16S ribosomal RNA". It matches the Rfam family "Bacterial small subunit ribosomal RNA", at positions 338 to 795 of the family's 1533-position model. The record is from RNAcentral.
CCUACGGGAGACAGCAGUGAGGAAUAUUGGUCAAUGGGCGCGAGCCUGAACCAGCCAAGUAGCGUGAAGGAUGACUGCCCUACGGGUUGUAAACUGCGGUUAUAAAGGAAUAAAGUGAGGCAAGUGUGCCUUUUUGUAUGUACUUUAUGAAUAAGGAUCGGCUAACUCCGUGCCAGCAGCCGCGGUAAUACGGAGGAUCCGAGCGUUAUCCGGAUUGAUUGGGUUUAAAGGGAGCGUAGAUGGGUUGUUAAGUCAGUUGUGAAAGUUUGCGGCUCAACCGUAAAAUUUCAAUUGAUACUGGCAGCCUUGAGUACAGUUGAGGUAGGCGGAAUUCGUGUUGUAGCGGUGAAAUGCUUAGCUCUCACGAAGCACUCCGAUUGCGAAGGCAGCUUACUACACUGCCACUGACAUUGAUGCUCGAAAGUGUGGGUAUCAAACAGGAUUAGCUACCCCAGUAGUC